CUCCGGUGAUCCCGCCGGACCCGACUGCUAUCAGAGUGAGAUUAAGCCAUGCGAGUUAACGUAGCAAUACGUGGCGCACGGCUCAGUAACACGUAGUCAACAUGCCCAGAGGACGUGGAUAACCUCGGGAAACUGAGUCUAAACCGCGAUAAGUGAGGAUUUCUGGAAUGGUUCCUGACUAAAAUCUAUAUGGCCUCUGGAUUGGACUGCGGCCGAUCAGGCUGUUGGUGAGGUAAUGGCCCACCAAACCUGUAACCGGUACGGGCUCUGAGAGGAGGAGCCCGGAGAUGGGCACUGAGACAAGGGCCCAGGCCCUAUGGGGCGCAGCAGGCGCGAAACCUCUGCAAUAGGCGAAAGCUUGACAGGGUUACUCUGAGUGAUUUCCGUUAAGGAGAUCUUUUGGCACCUCUAAAAAUGGUGCAGAAUAAGGGGUGGGCAAGUCUGGUGUCAGCCGCCGCGGUAAUACCAGCACCCCGAGUGGUCGGGACGAUUAUUGGGCCUAAAGCAUCCGUAGCCGGUUCUGCAAGUCCCCCGUUAAAUCCAGCUGCUCAACAGAUGGGCCGCGGAGGAUACUACAGAGCUAGGAGGCAGGAGAGGCAAGCGGUACUCAGUGGGUAGGGGUAAAAUCCGUUGAUCCAUUGAAGACCACCAGUGGCGAAGGCGGCUUGCCAGAACGCGCUCGACGGUGAGGGAUGAAAGCUGGGGGAGCAAACCGGAUUAGAUACCCGGGUAGUCCCAGCUGUAAACGAUGCAGACUCGGUGAUGAGUUGGCUUAUUGCUAACUCAGUGCCGCAGGGAAGCCGUUAAGUUUGCCGCCUGGGGAGUACGGUCGCAAGACUGAAACUUAAAGGAAUUGGCGGGGGAGCA
This 867-nucleotide ribosomal RNA is filed under the name uncultured archaeon. RNAcentral describes it as "bacterial SSU rRNA". It matches the Rfam family "Archaeal small subunit ribosomal RNA", at positions 1 to 878 of the family's 1478-position model. The record is from RNAcentral.